UAUUAGAGUUUGAUCAUGGCUCAGAUUGAACGCUGGCGGCAUGCCUUACACAUGCAAGUCGAACGGCAGCACGGGGGUAACCCUGGUGGCGAGUGGCGAACGGGUGAGUAAUACAUCGGAACGUGUCCUAGAGUGGGGGAUAGCCCGGCGAAAGCCGGAUUAAUACCGCAUACGCUCGAGAGAGGAAAGCGGGGGAUCUUCGGACCUCGCGCUCAAGGGGCGGCCGAUGGCGGAUUAGCUAGUUGGUAGGGUAAAGGCCUACCAAGGCGACGAUCCGUAGCUGGUCUGAGAGGACGACCAGCCACACUGGGACUGAGACACGGCCCAGACUCCUACGGGAGGCAGCAGUGGGGAAUUUUGGACAAUGGGGGCAACCCUGAUCCAGCAAUGCCGCGUGUGUGAAGAAGGCCUUCGGGUUGUAAAGCACUUUUGUCCGGAAAGAAAUCCUCUGGGUUAAUACCUCGGGGGGAUGACGGUACCGGAAGAAUAAGCACCGGCUAACUACGUGCCAGCAGCCGCGGUAAUACGUAGGGUGCGAGCGUUAAUCGGAAUUACUGGGCGUAAAGCGUGCGCAGGCGGUUUGCUAAGACCGAUGUGAAAUCCCCGGGCUUAACCUGGGAACUGCAUUGGUGACUGGCAAGCUAGAGA
This 648-nucleotide ribosomal RNA is filed under the name uncultured bacterium. RNAcentral's name for it is "bacterial SSU rRNA". It matches the Rfam family "Bacterial small subunit ribosomal RNA", at positions 1 to 647 of the family's 1533-position model. The record is from RNAcentral.